Molecule: ribosomal RNA, 552 nt
Filed under: uncultured bacterium
Lineage: Bacteria
Description: bacterial SSU rRNA
Rfam family: Bacterial small subunit ribosomal RNA
Source: RNAcentral
ACUGAAUAGAUACCCUGGUAGUCCACGCCGUAAACGAUGGAUGCUAGAUGUCUCUGGUAUUGACCCCGGAGGUGUCGUAGCUAACGCGUUAAGCAUCCCGCCUGGGGAGUACGGCCGCGAGGCUAAAACUCAAAGGAAUUGACGGGGGCCCGGCACAAGCGGUGGAGCAUGUGGUUUAAUUUACGACGCAACGCGAAGAACCUUACCUGGGUUGGUAACCCCUCCAGAAGUCCGCAGAGAUGUGGAUGUGCCCGCAAGGGAACGUGAGUGUCCAGGUGCUGCAUGGCUGUCGUCAGCUCGUGUCGUGAGAUGUUGGGUUAAGUCCCGCAACGAGCGCAACCCUUGUCGUUAGUUGCCAACGGUUCGGCCGGGCACUCUAACGAGACUGCCGGUGUUAAACCGGAGGAAGGUGGGGAUGACGUCAAGUCCUCAUGGCCCUUAUGCCCAGGGCUACACACGUGCUACAAUGGCCGGUACAAAGGGUCGCAAGCCCGCGAGGGAAGCCAAUCCCAAAAAAACCGGGCCUCAGUUCAGAUUGCAGUCUGCAACUCG